This 520-nucleotide ribosomal RNA is filed under the name uncultured bacterium. RNAcentral's name for it is "bacterial SSU rRNA". It matches the Rfam family "Bacterial small subunit ribosomal RNA", at positions 8 to 518 of the family's 1533-position model. The record is from RNAcentral.
AGAGUUUGAUUCUGGCUCAGGAGUGAACGCUAGCUACAGGCUUAACACAUGCAAGUCGAGGGGCAGCAUUGGAGUAGCAAUACUUCAGAUGGCGACCGGCGCACGGGUGAGUAACACGUAUCCAACCUGCCGCUUACUCGGGGAUAGCCUUUCGAAAGAAAGAUUAAUACCCGAUGGUAUAAAGAGUUCGCAUGUUCUCUUUAUUAAAGAAUUUCGGUAAGCGAUGGGGAUGCGUUCCAUUAGAUAGUUGGCGGGGUAACGGCCCACCAAGUCUACGAUGGAUAGGGGUUCUGAGAGGAAGGUCCCCCACAUUGGAACUGAGACACGGUCCAAACUCCUACGGGAGGCAGCAGUGAGGAAUAUUGGUCAAUGGACGAGAGUCUGAACCAGCCAAGUAGGCGUGAAGGAUGACUGCCCUAUGGGUUGUAAACUUCUUUUAUAAGGGAAUAAAGUGAGGGACGUGUCCCUUUUUGUAUGUACCUUAUGAAUAAGGAUCGGCUAACUCCGUGCCAGCAGCUGC